CCUACGGGAGGCAGCAGUGGGGAAUAUUGGACAAUGGGGGAACCCUGAUCCAGCCAUGCCGCGUGUGUGAAGAAGGCCCUCGGGUUGUAAAGCACUUUCAGUGAGGAAGAACGCCUGGUGGUUAAUACCCAUCAGGAAAGACAUCACUCACAGAAGAAGCACCGGCUAACUCCGUGCCAGCAGCCGCGGUAAUACGGAGGGUGCGAGCGUUAAUCGGAAUUACUGGGUGUAAAGCGCGCGUAGGUGGCUUGAUAAGCCGGUUGUGAAAGCCCCGGGCUCAACCUGGGAACGGCAUCCGGAACUGUCAAGCUAGAGUGCAGGAGAGGAAGGUAGAAUUCCCGGUGUAGCGGUGAAAUGCGUAGAGAUCGGGAGGAAUACCAGUGGCGAAGGCGGCCUUCUGGACUGACACUGACACUGAGGUGCGAAAGCGUGGGUAGCAAACAGGAUUAGAUACCCCUGUAGUC
RNAcentral lists this ribosomal RNA (464 nucleotides) under Vreelandella stevensii. RNAcentral's name for it is "partial 16S ribosomal RNA". It matches the Rfam family "Bacterial small subunit ribosomal RNA", at positions 338 to 795 of the family's 1533-position model. The record is from RNAcentral. Lineage: Bacteria; Pseudomonadati; Pseudomonadota; Gammaproteobacteria; Oceanospirillales; Halomonadaceae.